UAACNUGCCAGUUCGAACGUAGACCUUCGGGCUCUAGUGGCGCACGGGUCGCGNUAACGCGCUNGNUAAUCUGCCCCCUUGGAUUCGNAAUAACAGUUAGAAAUGACUGCCUAAUACCGGAUGAUGUCUUCGGACCAAAGAUUUAUCGCCAAGGGAUGAGCCCGCGUAGGAUUAGCUAGUUGGUGAGGUAAAAGCUCACCAAGGCGACGAUCCUUAGCUGGUCUGAGAGGAUGAUCAGCCACACUGGGACUGAGACACGGCCCAGACUCCUACGGGAGGCAGCAGUGGGGAAUAUUGGACAAUGGGCGAAAGCCUGAUCCAGCAAUGCCGCGUGAGUGAUGAAGGCCUUANGGUUGUAAAGCUCUUUUACCCGGGAAGAUAAUGACUGUACCGGGAGAAUAAGCCCCGGCUAACUCCGUGCCAGCAGCCGCGGUAAUACGGAGGGGGCUAGCGUUGUUCGGAAUUACUGGGCGUAAAGCGCACGUAGGCGGCUUUGUAAGUUAGAGGUGAAAGCCCGGAGCUCAACUCCGGAAUUGCCUUUAAGACUGCAUCGCUAGAACGUCGGAGAGGUGAGUGGAAUUCCGAGUGUAGAGGUGAAAUUCGUAGAUAUUCGGAAGAACACCAGUGGCGAAGGCGACUCACUGGACGACUGUUGACGCUGAGGUGCGAAAGCGUGGGGNAGCAAACAGGAUUAGAUACCCUGGUAGUCACGCCGUAAACGAUGAUGACUAGCUGUCGGGGCUCUUAAAGCUUCGGUGGCNCACCUAACNCGUUAAAGUCAUCCGCCUGGGGANUACGGCCG
RNAcentral lists this ribosomal RNA (802 nucleotides) under uncultured bacterium. RNAcentral's name for it is "bacterial SSU rRNA". It matches the Rfam family "Bacterial small subunit ribosomal RNA", at positions 51 to 888 of the family's 1533-position model. The record is from RNAcentral.